Peromyscus maniculatus bairdii (prairie deer mouse) is the source of this 9389-nucleotide non-coding RNA. The record is from RefSeq and is a predicted model, not a curated record. Lineage: Eukaryota; Metazoa; Chordata; Mammalia; Rodentia; Cricetidae.
UUGGCCGCUGCGCCUCCUCCAGAGGCAUGCUGGGAGCCUGGAGGACUAGCGAGGAGGAGUUGAGAGAACGGAGCGGACGCCAUGGCGGCCGACAUCGAGCAGGUUUUUAGGUCUUUCGUGGUCAGUAAAUUCCGGGAAAUACAACAGGAGCUUUCCAGCGGAAGGAGUGAAGGCCAGCUGAAUGGGGAAACAAACGCACCUAUUGAAGGAAGCCAGGCAGGUGACACAGCCGCCUCGACGCGGAGUCUCCCAAACGAAGAGAUCGUGCAGAAGAUAGAGGAAGUCCUUUCUGGGGUCCUAGACACAGAACUGCGAUACAAGCCAGACUUGAAGGAGGCCUCCAGAAAAAGUAGAUGUGUGUCUGUACAAACAGAUCCUACUGAUGAAGUUCCCACCAAAAAGUCAAAGAAGCAUAAAAAGCACAAAAACAAAAAGAAGAAAAAGAAGAAAGAAAAGGAAAAAAAAUACAAAAGGCAACCAGAAGAACCUGAGUCCAAGUUGAAAUCUCAUCACGAUGGGAGUGUUGAUCUAGAAUCUGAUUCCUUUUUAAAGUUUGAUUCUGAAUCUUCAGCAAUGGCACUGGAACAUCCUGUAAGAGCAUUUGGCUUUUCUGAGGCCAGUGAAACCCCUCUAGUGCUGGAACCUCCAGUAGGAUCGGUGGAGGUUCAGGAGUCACAUAUGUUAGAGACUCCAAAGCCUGCUCCCCAGCCUGCAGAACUGUCCUUUGGAUCUGCACCAGUCAUCUCAGAGCAGUCUGAGCAGCCUGAGUCAGUAAUGAUGGAACCGUCCCCAACCAAGAUUCUGGAUUCCUUUGCAGCUGCAGCAGCGCUGAAGUCACCUGAGCCCGUUGUAACAAUGUCAGUGGAGUAUCAGAAGUCUGUGCUCAAGUCUUCUUGGGAGACUACGGCUCCAGAGCUAUCAAAGACCACGCCGGUAGAGCUUCCCGUAGCAAAAGUGCUUGAGCCGUCAGAAACCCUCAUGAUAGUAUCAGAGACACCCCCUGAGGUGCACCCUGAACCAAGCACAUCAACAAUGGAUUUUCCAGAGUCAUCUACAACUGAUGCACUAAGAUUGCCAGAGCAGCCUGCAGAAGCACCAUCGGAGAUGGCAGAUUCAUCCUUGACAAGACCUCAGGAGUCACUGGAGCUGCCGAAGAGCACAGCGGUGGAGCUGCAGGAGUCGUCGGUGGCCUCAGCCCUGGAGUUGCCGGGGCCACCUGCGACCUCCAUGCUGGAGUUGCAGGGGCCCCCUGCGACUCCAGUGCUGGAGUUGCCUGGGCCCUCUGCCGCCCCAGUGCCAGAGUUGUCAGGGCCCCUUUCUACCCCAGUGCCUGAGUUGCCAGGGCCCCCUGCCACAGUAGUGCCUGAGUUGCCGGGGCCCUCUGUGACACCAGUGCCACCAUUGUUGCAGGAAUUGCCAGGGCCUCCAGCGCCAUCCGUGGGGUUGGAGCCACCACAGGAGGUACCAGAGCCACCUGUGAUGGCACAGGAGAUGCCAGGGGUGCCUGCAGUUUCAGCGGCAGUAGAAUUGACAGGGCAACCUGCAGUAACAGUAGCAAUGGAGUUGACCGAACAACCUGUGACGACGACAGAGUUCGAGCAUCCUGUGGCGAUGACGACGGUGGAACAUCCUGGGCAUCCUGAGGUGACAACAGCGACAGGGUUGCUGGGGCAGCCGGAGGCAGCGAUGGUGCUGGAGUUGCCAGGACAGCCAGUGGCAACCACAGCUCUGGAGUUGUCUGGGCAGCCUUCAGUGACUGGGGUGUCAGAGUUGUCAGGGCUGCCUUCGGCAACUGGGGCACUGGAGUUGUCAGGGCAGCCCGUGGCAACUGGGGCACUGGAGUUGCCUGGGCAGCUUAUGGCAACUGGGGCACUGGAGUUCUCGGGGCAGUCUGGGGCAGCUGGAGCACUGGAGCUUUUGGGGCAGCCCCUGGCAACAGGGGUGCUGGAGUUACCAGGGCAGCCUGGGGCGCCAGAGUUGCCUGGGCAGCCCGUGGCAACUGUGGCGCUGGAGAUCUCUGUUCAGUCCGUGGUGACAACAUCGGAGCUGUCAACGAUGACCGUGUCGCAGUCUCUGGAGGUGCCCUCGACGACAGCGCUGGAAUCCUAUAAUACGGUAGCACAGGAGCUGCCUACUACACUGGUGGGGGAGACUUCUGUAACAGUAGGAGUGGAUCCCUUGAUGGCCCAAGAAUCCCAUAUGUUAGCUUCUAACACCAUGGAGAGCCAUAUGUUAGCAUCCAACACCAUGGACUCCCAAAUGCUAGCAUCCAACACUAUGGAUUCUCAGAUGCUAGCAUCCAAUACCAUGGAUUCCCAGAUGUUAGCGUCUAGCACCAUGGACUCCCAGAUGUUAGCCUCUAGCACUAUGGACUCCCAGAUGUUAGCAACUAGCUCCAUGGACUCCCAGAUGUUAGCGACUAGUUCCAUGGACUCCCAAAUGUUAGCAACCAGCUCUAUGGACUCCCAGAUGUUAGCAACCAGCUCUAUGGACUCCCAGAUGUUAGCAACCAGCAGUAUGGACUCCCAGAUGUUAGCAACCAGCUCCAUGGACUCCCAGAUGUUAGCAACCAGCUCCAUGGACUCCCAGAUGUUAGCAACCAGCAGUAUGGACUCCCAGAUGUUAGCCACCAGUUCCAUGGACUCCCAGAUGUUAGCAUCUGGUGCUAUGGAUUCUCAAAUGCUAGCUUCUGGCACCAUGGAUGCUCAGAUGUUAGCAUCUGGUACUAUGGAUGCCCAAAUGUUAGCAUCUAGUACCCAAGAUUCUGCUAUGAUGGGUUCAAAAUCUCCUGAUCCUUAUAGGUUAGCUCAGGAUCCUUACAGAUUAGCUCAGGAUCCCUAUAGGUUGGGUCAUGACCCCUAUAGGUUAGGCCAUGAUGCUUAUAGGUUAGGACAGGACCCCUAUAGAUUAGGCCAUGAUCCCUACAGACUAACUCCUGAUCCCUAUAGGAUGUCACCUAGACCCUACAGAAUAGCACCCAGGUCCUAUAGAAUAGCACCUAGGCCAUACAGGUUAGCACCUAGACCCUUGAUGUUAGCAUCUAGACGCUCUAUGAUGAUGUCCUAUGCUGCAGAACGUUCCAUGAUGUCAUCUUAUGAGCGCUCUAUGAUGUCUUAUGAACGCUCUAUGAUGUCUCCGAUGGCUGAACGCUCAAUGAUGUCAGCCUAUGAGCGCUCUAUGAUGUCAGCUUACGAGCGCUCCAUGAUGUCACCUAUGGCUGAGCGUUCUAUGAUGUCAGCUUAUGAACGCUCUAUGAUGUCAGCUUACGAGCGCUCCAUGAUGUCCCCUAUGGCUGAUCGAUCUAUGAUGUCCAUGGGUGCCGACCGGUCUAUGAUGUCAUCGUACUCUGCAGCUGACCGGUCUAUGAUGUCAUCGUACUCUGCAGCUGACCGAUCUAUGAUGUCAUCUUACACUGAUCGAUCAAUGAUGUCUAUGGCAGCUGAUUCUUAUACUGAUUCUUACACUGACUCCUAUACGGAGGCAUAUAUGGUGCCUCCUUUGCCUCCUGAAGAGCCCCCAACAAUGCCACCAUUGCCACCUGAGGAACCACCAAUGACACCACCAUUGCCUCCUGAGGAACCACCAGAGGGUUCAGCAUUAUCUGCCGAGCAAUCGGUAUUAACAGCUGACAAUACUUGGCCUACAGAGGUAACAUUACCUACUGAAGAAUCUGUAGCACAGCCUGAGCCUCCUGUGAGUCAAAGUGAGAUUUCAGAGCCUUUGGCAGUACCUGCUAGUUAUUCAGUGUCAGAAUCAGAGACUUCAAUGUUAGCAUCAGAGGCUGUUAUGACUGUUGCAGAACCUGCACAAGAGCCAGAAUCUUCAGUCCUAUCAGCACCAGUUGAGUCUGCUGUAGUAGCAGAACAUGAAAUGGUUACAGAGAGACCAGUGACUUACAUGGUUUCUGAGGCUACCAUGUCAGCUGAACCAGCUGUGUUAUCAGAGCCUUCUGCUAUGUCGGAGACAUCAGAAACAUACGAUUCCAUGCGGCCAUCAGGACAUGCUAUAGCGGAGGUGUCUAUGUCCCUCCUGGAGCCAGCAGUAACCAUUUCACAGCCAGCAGAGAGCAGUCUGGAGCUGCAAUCCAUGGCUGUCCCAGCACCUCCCACUAUGACUGCCCCAGAAUCUCCUGCUGUUGCCGUCCCAGAACUUCCUCCUGUGGCUGACCCAGAACCUCCCGUUAUGGUUGUUCCAGAAACCCCCACUGUGGCUGUUCCAGAACUUGCUGCUGUGGCUGCCCCAGAGCCUCCUGCUAUGACUACUCCAGAGCUUUCCUCCAUGCCUGUCUCAGAACCUCCUGUGGCUGUCCCGGAGCUCCCAGCUUUGGCUGACCCAGAGCAUGCUACAACUGCAGGGUCAGGUGUUUCUUCCCUGGAGCCUUCUGUGCCUGUCUUGGAACCAGCAGUAUCAGUCCUUCAACCUGUUAUGGUUGUUUCAGAACCAUGUGUUCCUGUCCAGGAACCUACUGUGGCAAUUUCAGAACCUGCUGUCACAGUUUUGGAGCAUACUCAAAUAAUAUCACCUGAGAUGGCUUUAGAGUCUUCACCAACAGUAGUGGAGUCCAGUGUACUGUCAUCACAUGUUAUGAAAGGAAUGAAUUUACUUUCUGGGGAUCCAAGUCUUGGUCCAGAGGUUGGCGUGCAGGAGAUUAUGUUGCAUGCAGGUGAAGAGCCACAUGAUGGAGGACACUUGAAAAAUGACUUGUAUGAAAAUGAAUAUGAUAGAAAUGCAGAACUUGCUAUAAACAGUCAUUUCAUUGCUAAAGAUGUGGAGCAUAAUACAGUGUGUGCUGCUGCCAUUGGUCCUGUUGGUGAAACAAGUGAAGAGAAAGUUUUGCCCGUCAUCGAGACAAAGGAAGUCACAGAAUUGGAUACCUGUCCUGCUGUUAGUGAAGCUGAUGUAGGAAGAAGUCUGUCUUCCCAACUUGCUCUGGAACCAGACACAAUGGGAACUAAUAAGGGGUUGGAAUUUGUCACAGCGUCUGUUCCCAGUUUAGAUAGUAAAUAUGAUGUUGAAAUAUCUUUAACUACUCAAGAUACUGAACAUGACAUGGUGAUUUCCACCAGCCCCAGUGGUGGCAGUGAAGCUGACAUAGAGGGACCUUUGCCUGCUAAAGACAUUCACCUUGAUUUGCCAUCUACAAAUCUUGUUUGUAAGGAUACAGAAGACUCGUUACCUAUAAAAGACAGUGACCAGACAGUAGCAGUUGCUCCUAGCCCUAAAGAAAGCAGUGAAGAUAAAGAAGUACCUCUUCCCAAUAAAGAAACAGUUCCUGAUUCAGUAUAUCCUGCCAGCAUUGAUGAGAUUAAUGAAGCUGACUUAGUGAGACCAUUACUUCCUAAGGACAUGGAACGUCUUACAAGCCUUAGAGCUGGCAUUGAAGGACCUUUACUUGCAAGUGAAAGUGAACGGGACAAAUUGGCUGCCAGUCCAGUUGUAAUUAGUAUACCAGAAAGAGCUUCAGAGUCUUCUUCAGAGGAAAAGGAUGAUUAUGAAAUUUUUGUAAAAGUUAAGGACACACAUGAAAAAAGCAAGAAAAAUAAAAACCGUGACAAAGGUGAAAAAGAGAAGAAAAGGGACUCUUCAUUAAGGUCUCGGAGUAAGCGUUCCAAGUCUUCUGAACAUAAGUCACGCAAGCGUACCAGUGAGUCUCGUUCUAGAGCAAGGAAGAGGUCAUCUAAGUCCAAGUCUCAUCGUUCUCAGACACGUUCACGGUCACGUUCAAGACGCAGGAGAAGGAGUAGCAGAUCAAGAUCUAAGUCUAGAGGACGACGGUCUGUAUCAAAAGAGAAGCGCAAGAGAUCUCCAAAGCACAGAUCCAAGUCCAGAGAAAGGAAGAGGAAAAGAUCAAGUUCCCGGGACAACCGGAAAACAGUUCGAGCUCGGAGUCGAACUCCAAGUCGGCGGAGUAGGAGUCACACUCCUAGUCGGCGGAGAAGGUCUAGAUCUGUUGGUAGAAGGAGGAGUUUCAGCAUUUCCCCGAGCCGCAGGAGCCGCACCCCCAGCCGCAGGAGCCGUACCCCCAGCCGCAGGAGCCGCACCCCCAGCCGCAGGAGCCGAACCCCAAGCCGCAGGAGCCGAACCCCGAGCCGCAGGAGCCGAACUCCGAGCCGCAGGAGAAGAUCAAGAUCUGUGGUAAGAAGACGAAGCUUCAGUAUAUCGCCAGUCAGAUUAAGGCGAUCAAGAACACCUUUGAGAAGAAGGUUUAGUAGAUCUCCCAUUCGUCGUAAAAGAUCCAGGUCUUCUGAAAGAGGCAGAUCACCCAAACGUCUAACAGAUUUGGAUAAGGCUCAAUUACUUGAAAUAGCCAAAGCUAAUGCAGCUGCCAUGUGUGCUAAGGCUGGUGUUCCUUUACCACCAAACCUAAAGCCUGCACCUCCACCUACAAUAGAAGAGAAAGUUGCUAAAAAGUCUGGAGGAGCUACCAUAGAAGAACUAACUGAGAAAUGCAAACAGAUUGCACAGAGUAAAGAAGAUGAUGAUGUAAUAGUGAAUAAACCUCAUGUUUCGGAUGAAGAGGAAGAAGAACCUCCUUUUUAUCAUCAUCCCUUUAAACUCAGUGAACCCAAGCCCAUUUUUUUCAAUCUGAAUAUUGCUGCAGCAAAGCCAACUCCACCAAAGAGCCAAGUAACAUUAACAAAGGAAUUUCCUGUGUCAUCUGGAUCUCAGCAUCGGAAAAAAGAAGCCGAUAGUGUUUAUGGAGAGUGGGUUCCUGUAGAGAAAAACGGCGAAGAAAACAAAGAUGAUGAUAAUGUGUUCAGCAGCAGCUUGCCCUCAGAGCCUGUGGACAUCUCAACAGCAAUGAGCGAACGGGCACUUGCUCAGAAGAGACUCAGUGAGAAUGCAUUUGACCUUGAAGCCAUGAGUAUGUUAAAUCGAGCUCAAGAACGGAUUGAUGCCUGGGCUCAGUUGAACUCUAUCCCUGGGCAGUUCACAGGAAGUACGGGAGUGCAAGUCCUGACACAGGAACAGCUGGCUAAUACUGGUGCCCAAGCCUGGAUUAAAAAGGAUGGACACUGAAGAUGGGCUGAAAUCCUGACACGAUACCAAAUGCAUACAUUCGGCUCAGUAGACACUCAUUUUAUAUCUGGAGGCUCAAUUUGAGAACCACUGACUUCAUGAAAAAACAGGAUAUAUAAGACCUAAAAUGAAAGGAGAGGACGGACAUCUCAUGCUACGAAGAUGUAGGUGCACCGGAUCUCAGACUCCUGAAAUGAGAUUUGUCAACUCUACCUACGGCUACCUCAUUGUUGGGGGAGUCUUAGGUGGUUAAAAGGGGGCUUUGUGAAGACAUGACAUCUGGUGAAGGGCUGUGGUUUGGUUGGAUGGGUGAUGAGAAAUUUGUUUCAGGAGUACUGGCAACAGCAGUGCUGAACUGGGAGGCUGCGUGGUCUCUUGGAUGGGGAAGGUUUCUUUGUCCUGCUGUACUCCUGACUCCUUGUGUGAUCAUGGGCAAGUAAUUCCUUGGAAUUUCUGUCUCCCAAGUGUCACGUGGUGUGGGAGACAGGAUCAUAUCAAAGCCUCAGACAGUGGUAAUCAGUGCUGUGAUGGGUACCUAUUACCUGUAGAAUUGGAAUGAGUGCUAGUCAUGGGUGAGGUGGGUUUUUCAAAAAAUAAAAUUUUGGGUGCUUUGAACAGUUUUAUAGCAAGCAUUACCUGUGAUUCUCUUAUUAACAAAUUAAUGUAAGGUAUCACACAUCUUCAUAGUUGAAUGAGUAUGUACCUAGGCAUUGGUUUUGGAAAAAAGGGAUAAGCUAGCAGUAUUUUUAAUGAUUGCACUCAUUUUAUAUAGUAAUACUUUGUAUAAAUUAUAAAAUAGUUAAAAAAUAGCUGUCAUCUUAGUAGGAAGGAUUAUGUGUUUACUUUAUUGGGACAUUGGACAUUAAGCAAGUUGUCCAGAGCCACAUGUUCAGUCCUGCUUCAUUCAUCUGUCUUGAAGCUGAGUGCUUGGGAUUGCAGGAAGUUAGACAUGAAGUGUUUUUGAAUGUUUAUACUUGUAAUAGUUCAUGUGCGUUGCCAGGUAGAAGCUUCUGGAAGGUUUUCCACUGCUGCUCUGUGUUUAUGUAUAAAGAGCAGAUAAACAUAAGUGAAUUUCCAAGGUGAGUCUUCACUUAGUCAAGUGGCUCCCUAUGUACUUAAGUAGUUAAUGUUUACUAGAACCUUUAAAAUGAUUUUGCUAUACAUUUUUUAUAGAAUAUAAUCUGGGAAGCAAAUUAUUUUGAUAAGUUAUGUGUUCAUCAGACUAAGCUUUACUUUAUAGAAGAAAUCAACACUCAUAGGAAAAUGAUCUUAUGUAACGAAUUGCUGGAGAAUAUCUGCUUAAUGAAAACCAGAGGAGCAUUAUUUUAUUCAGGUAGAUAGGUCGGUACAUUUAGAAGUCAUUUGGCAACUGAAAAUGUCAUUGGUAUUUAUCAUAAGUACUACCUAUACCCAUUAAUUCUGUUUGGGAAAUAUGGAAAUGGCCAUUUGGCUUUUUUUGGCCCAGCACUGUCCUGUAUUAAAAACCAUAGGGAAACACCAACCAAUACCCUCUCUGUUCUUUAGUUUGUUUUAGAAUACUUUUAGAUUAAGAGGAAUAUUUCAUUGGUACACUCAUUUAUCAGUAAAACAUUUAAAAGUUAACUGAUUUUAAAGGGCCUUUAUUUUCUCAAAUGAUUUGGGAUUUGAUUUUAUAAAAAUGUUGGUUAUUGUGGUCUCACUGGAUUAAGACAGGUUUUUACACUGGAUAAAGAGGUAGAUGCUAAUAUAAUAGCAAACAGGAUUGGAAAACUGGGCUACUUGGGGAUUUAUAUUGUACUCUGUCUGUACAGUUGCCCUUUUUUUUAGGAGUGUUUCCUGGAAAAGAGGGGGAGAUGAACCUGGAAGUAAGUAAAGUCACUCUAGGUGUGUAGCAUCAAGGCAGUUGAUACCCAAGCAUCAGCUAACUUUUCUCUUUAUACAUCCACAAUGCAUGGCCUGCACCAAAUAAGGAACUGAACCAGGGGUAUGUUUUUACCUCCACAGCUGCCUCCUUCCAUCAGAGCACCUUGUUGAACUUAAUGUCUAGUCACAUGUCACUGGAUUGUUUUCUCCCCAACAUUUAAUUAUAAAGCUGGGAAACAGAGCUUAUAUAUAUAUAUAUUUUACUGCAGUGUCAAAACACCACUUCUAAGUAUUAACUUACUGAUAGAAGGAAAAGUAAUGCAUACUUGCUUGCUAAGUUACCAAACAUUUGACUUUCUGUAAUGACAUGGUAUAUAUUUGGCAGAGAACAUUAGCCUAAAAUGUUGUAAUAAUUGGAAAUAAAACAUGGUUUAGAGAUGCUUCAAUUAAAAAGGAAAAAAAAAAAACCCACAAAGAUCAACAGCAGAAUUCAUAGUGCAUUGAUACCUUUUUAAAGAGGCACUGGA